AUGAACGCUGGCGGCGUGCCUAAUACAUGCAAGUCGAGCGAACAGACGAGGAGCUUGCUCCUCUGACGUUAGCGGCGGACGGGUGAGUAACACGUGGAUAACCUACCUAUAAGACUGGGAUAACUUCGGGAAACCGGAGCUAAUACCGGAUAAUAUAUUGAACCGCAUGGUUCAAUAGUGAAAGACGGUUUUGCUGUCACUUAUAGAUGGAUCCGCGCCGCAUUAGCUAGUUGGUAAGGUAACGGCUUACCAAGGCGACGAUGCGCAGCCGACCUGAGAGGGUGAUCGGCCACACUGGAACUGAGACACGGUCCAGACUCCUACGGGAGGCAGCAGUAGGGAAUCUUCCGCAAUGGGCGAAAGCCUGACGGAGCAACGCCGCGUGAGUGAUGAAGGUCUUCGGAUCGUAAAACUCUGUUAUUAGGGAAGAACAAAUGUGUAAGUAACUAUGCACGUCUUGACGGUACCUAAUCAGAAAGCCACGGCUAACUACGUG
RNAcentral lists this ribosomal RNA (496 nucleotides) under uncultured bacterium. RNAcentral describes it as "partial 16S ribosomal RNA". It matches the Rfam family "Bacterial small subunit ribosomal RNA", at positions 29 to 507 of the family's 1533-position model. The record is from RNAcentral.